This 974-nucleotide ribosomal RNA is filed under the name uncultured bacterium. RNAcentral's name for it is "bacterial SSU rRNA". It matches the Rfam family "Bacterial small subunit ribosomal RNA", at positions 28 to 1010 of the family's 1533-position model. The record is from RNAcentral.
GACGAACGCUGGCGGCGUGCCUAACACAUGCAAGUCGAGCGGAGGUAAGUGGAUGGUAACUGAAGCUUACUUUAGCGGCGGACGGGUGAGUAACACGUGGGCAACCUGCCUCGAAGUGGGGGAUAACACCGAGAAAUCGGUGCUAAUACCGCAUAACAUACAGACACCACCUGGUGACUGUAUCAAAGGAGAAAUCCGCUUUGAGAUGGGCCCGCGGCUGAUUAGCUAGUUGGUGAGGUAAUGGCUCACCAAGGCGACGAUCAGUAGCCGACCUGAGAGGGUGACCGGCCACACUGGAACUGAGACACGGUCCAGACUCCUACGGGAGGCAGCAGUGGGGAAUAUUGCGCAAUGGGGGAAACCCUGACGCAGCAACGCCGCGUGGAGGAAGAAGGUCUUCGGAUUGUAAACUCCUGUCUUCUGGGACGAUAAUGACGGUACCAGAGGAGGAAGCCACGGCUAACUACGUGCCAGCAGCCGCGGUAAUACGUAGGUGGCGAGCGUUGUCCGGAAUUACUGGGCGUAAAGGGCGCGUAGGCGGUUCUUUAAGUUAGAUGUGAAAACCCAGGGCUUAACUUUGGGAGUGCAUUUAAAACUGAAGGACUCGAGUGCAGGAGAGGUAAGUGGAAUUCCUAGUGUAGCGGUGAAAUGCGUAGAUAUUAGGAGGAACACCAGUGGCGAAGGCGACUUACUGGACUGUAACUGACGCUGAGGCGCGAAAGCGUGGGGAGCAAACAGGAUUAGAUACCCGGGUAGUCCACGCUGUAAACGAUGGAUACUAGGUGUGGGAGGUAUCGACCCCUUCCGUGCCGCAGUAAACGCAAUAAGUAUCCCGCCUGGGGAGUACGGCCGCAAGGUUGAAACUCAAAGGAAUUGACGGGGGCCCGCACAAGCAGCGGAGCAUGUGGUUUAAUUCGAAGCAACGCGAAGAACCUUACCAGAACUUGACAUCGUCUGAAUUACUCUUAAUCGAG